ACAGCAGUAGUCUACCCCAGAUAUCUGAUUUCGACCCAGAAGACCUUACCCAUUAAGCUGCUACA
RNAcentral lists this transfer RNA (65 nucleotides) under Achalinus rufescens (Boulenger's odd-scaled snake). RNAcentral's name for it is "tRNA-Arg". The record is from RNAcentral. Lineage: Eukaryota; Metazoa; Chordata; Lepidosauria; Squamata; Xenodermidae.